GACGAACGCUGGCGGCGUGCCUAAUACAUGCAAGUCGAGCGAAGUUUUUCUGGUGCUUGCCCUGGAAAAACUUAGCGGCGAACGGGUGAGUAACACGUAAAGAACCUGCCUCAUAGACUGGGACAACUAUUGGAAACGAUAGCUAAUACCGGAUAAUAGCAUUAACUGCAUGGUUGAUGUUUAAAAGUUGGUUUUGCUAACACUAUGAGAUGGCUUUGCGGUGCAUUAGCUGGUUGGUGGGGUAAAGGCCUACCAAGGCGACGAUGCAUAGCCGACCUGAGGGGGGAAUCGGCAACACGGAGACUGAAACACGGCCCGGACUCCUAGGGAAGGCGGAGGAGGGAAAUCUUCCGAAAUGGGCGAAAGCCUAACGAGGCAACGCGGCGUGGGUGAAGAGGGAUUUCGGUUCGUAAAGCUCUGUUGUUAGGAAAGAAUGAUUGUGUAGUAACUAUACACGGUAGGAACGGUACCUAACCAGAAAGCCACGGCUAACUACGU
This 498-nucleotide ribosomal RNA is filed under the name uncultured bacterium. RNAcentral describes it as "partial 16S ribosomal RNA". It matches the Rfam family "Bacterial small subunit ribosomal RNA", at positions 28 to 506 of the family's 1533-position model. The record is from RNAcentral.